CCAUGCCGUAAACGUUGGGCGCUAGGUGUGGGGUCCAUUCCACGGAUUCCGUGCCGCAGCUAACGCAUUAAGCGCCCCGCCUGGGGAGUACGGCCGCAAGGCUAAAACUCAAAGGAAUUGACGGGGGCCCGCACAAGCGGCGGAGCAUGCGGAUUAAUUCGAUGCAACGCGAAGAACCUUACCAAGGCUUGACAUGCGCGGUGGAAUCCCAGAGAUGGGGUGUCAUUUAGUUGGUCGCGUACAGGUGGUGCAUGGUUGU
Molecule: ribosomal RNA, 259 nt
Filed under: uncultured bacterium
Lineage: Bacteria
Description: partial 16S ribosomal RNA
Rfam family: Bacterial small subunit ribosomal RNA
Source: RNAcentral